GAUAGUUGCAUUCAAAAGGAAUAAUUUACUGUGACUUAAAGCUAUCAAAUAUCCUGUUGGAUGAAAAUGGAAUCACAAAGUUGUGUGAUUUUGAAUUAGCAAGAAAAUUGAGUGAUAUAUAAAAGACACCUUCCUCCCAGUCAGACAUGUAAUACCUAGCAGAAAAUUAUAUAAAGGUUCAGAUGCAAUUCCUUCAGUUUCAUUUGAUGCACCUCAACUGUCUGAUUUUGUCAAAAUAUCAAAAGAG
This is a long non-coding RNA of Solanum stenotomum, 247 nucleotides long. RefSeq lists it as uncharacterized. The transcript has 3 exons. The record is from RefSeq and is a predicted model, not a curated record. NCBI's taxonomy places the organism in Eukaryota, Viridiplantae, Streptophyta, Magnoliopsida, Solanales, Solanaceae.